Molecule: small RNA, 216 nt
Filed under: Arabidopsis thaliana (thale cress)
Lineage: Eukaryota; Viridiplantae; Streptophyta; Magnoliopsida; Brassicales; Brassicaceae
Description: ATSL195370
Source: RNAcentral
GUUAUAGUUAGAAGUAAGAAAACUGUUCGAUAUUUUGGUGUAUGAGCAAGAACUAAAUAGAAAAAUGAAGCCGUUGGAUUAUAGGAAGAAAAUUGUUCGAACAGCUAAUUAUAUAUAUGAAAGUUGGACAACUCUCUCCAUAUGAGUGACACAUCAUCAUACAAGAAAAUGACAUGUAUUAUUCUACAUUAAUUAAAUUAAAAGAUUAGCAAACUA